Molecule: long non-coding RNA, 813 nt
Filed under: Homo sapiens (human)
Lineage: Eukaryota; Metazoa; Chordata; Mammalia; Primates; Hominidae
Description: non-protein coding lnc-FAM90A1-1:7
Source: RNAcentral
GGGAUCACAUAGAGCUUUGCCAACACAUUCUAUUGCGUGUUUUAAUGUUCCUGUGAAUGCGCCCUUGAGAUUUCUCCCUCCCCCGUCCACACUGAGCUUAGAAGCAAAGUUAAGAGACUCAUCAGAUUCUGAGCUGCUGCGGGAUAUUUUGCAGAAGACUGUGAAGCAUCCUGUGUGUGUGUGAAGCACCCGCCGUCAGUCAAGUAUGCCCGGUGCUUUCUCUCAGAACUCAUCAAAAAGACGUGCUGUAUUGCCCAGAAGCCAUCGUGUCGCUGGUCGGGGUCCUGCGGAGGCUGGCUGCCUGCCAGGAGCACAAGCGGGCUCCUGAGGUCUACGUGGCCUUUACCGUCCGCAACCCAGAGACGUGCCAGCUGUUCACCACCGAGCUAGGUGAGCCCACACACCCACCCGGGCCUGCAUGGUCCCUGAGCUGUCCCUGCAGGACUCCAGUGGAAGUGAAAGAACUGGGCACCGGGGAAAAGCUAGGAUGUCCCACACUCCUACACCAUGCAGGGAACUCGGGCACAGGCCGGCUGGGCCGGGAUCAGAUGGGAAGCAGAAGCUCAUCAUGACCAGAAACUGUUUCCCUACGGAGAGCACUUGGAGAUGGCAAUGCUGAACCUCACACUGUAGGACUCACACACGACUCUAACGGGAUUGUAAGAAUCAAGUCACUCUCAUGGGAAGAAUUUUUAUAUGGGAAAGCGGCUAAAACUUUCAUUGGACUGGAAUGUUUGGAGAUUGUUAAAUUCCAAAUCAGGAACCACAAACUGCCCUCUAAUAAGAUAUCAGCUGUCUAAGCGUGUGGGUGCC